RNAcentral lists this transfer RNA (74 nucleotides) under Bacteroidia bacterium. Its description in RNAcentral is "tRNA-Pro". It matches the Rfam family "tRNA". From Rfam's summary of the family: Transfer RNA (tRNA) molecules are approximately 80 nucleotides in length. Their secondary structure includes four short double-helical elements and three loops (D, anti-codon, and T loops). Lineage: Bacteria; Pseudomonadati; Bacteroidota; Bacteroidia. The record is from RNAcentral.
CGGGAUGUGGCGCAGCCCGGUAGCGCACUUGCAUGGGGUGCAAGGGGUCGCUGGUUCGAGUCCAGUCAUCCCGA